Molecule: long non-coding RNA, 381 nt
Organism: Hypomesus transpacificus
Lineage: Eukaryota; Metazoa; Chordata; Actinopteri; Osmeriformes; Osmeridae
Exons: 3
Source: RefSeq, a predicted model, not a curated record
UGAGUACAUUCUGAAGACCUUUUGAAGAGAGUCACAUUGAGAGGAGGAGGGCGGGGACGAGGAGGAAGAACAGGGUUCGGAGACGAGAGAAACGAGUUGUGGAAUGUUUCCUGUUUAGCCCUUGAAACCGGCCAUCUCAUUUGUUAAGGCUUGACCUCAAGCUGCAAUGCCCGUUUGGGUGGCCUGAGGCCACUUCGGAGUGGAUGAAGCAGGGGCCGGGAGACUGACAGCUAGAUGAAUCAGGAGGGUCAGAACACAUACCCUCUCGACAGACACACAGCAGCUAGCUCAGUGGAGGAUAACCGCACCCCAUCCCAGCACGGUAGGACACGAUAUCGGGCCGCUUGGACGAUUUGACAUUAGCCGUCAGCCACAAUCAAG